CGCAAAUAUUAAAAUAAGUGUUUAUUUGACCAAGCGCUCCGAUGCAAUAAUUGAUUUACACCAAUAUAUUGGGAAACAUCACACCUUGGGCGAUGUUGAUCCCCUCAAAUAAUGACAGCAUAACGAAAGUAGUAUAAAAGACCUUACUACGAAAUAUUUUUGCAUUCCUGCUUCAUCGACAGAGUAGGAGCGAAUGUUCAGCAAAGGUGGACAAAUUAUAACGGAACGAAGAGCUGCCUUAAAAGCUAAGCAUGUGGACAUGCUCCUUUUUCACAAUUCUCGGAUCUUGGCAGAAGACUGAUCCUUAAUUUUAAUUUUAUUCAAAUUUGUUUUGAUUUACUAUGUCCAUGAAGGAUCUCAUUAUGUUAAACAUAUGAAAUGUUUAUUAAAAUGUUAAUUUUUAAUUAUGAAGCAUGGCGGUGGAAGUGUCCUGGUUGGGGCAUGCAUGGCGGCUUCGGGAGUUGGAAUCCUGGUUUUGAUCGAAGGAACAAUGGACAGACAUAUGUAUCUAUCAGUUUUUUCAUAGCCCGGGAACCUAUCUUUGAUCUUUCCAUGGUUGCCUAUAGAAAAUCUUAAUUCACUUUGCGUCGUUUCAGUUUGCGUCGUGUUUUUUUGGAACGUAUCCCCAACGCAAAGCUAGGUCUAGGUGUAGUUCGUCUAAACUAAUGUAAAUACUCUUAAUCCUAUAAUAUAAAUAUUUAUUAUUGUUAUUAAUCAAUAUUAUCAUUUAGUAAAGGAUAAAAAUGUAAAACUA
Molecule: long non-coding RNA, 754 nt
Organism: Drosophila willistoni
Lineage: Eukaryota; Metazoa; Arthropoda; Insecta; Diptera; Drosophilidae
Exons: 3
Source: RefSeq, a predicted model, not a curated record